Molecule: non-coding RNA, 1113 nt
Organism: Cricetulus griseus (Chinese hamster)
Lineage: Eukaryota; Metazoa; Chordata; Mammalia; Rodentia; Cricetidae
Source: RefSeq, a predicted model, not a curated record
UCCCCCCCCACACUUCCUCUUGGUUUGGUAUGCUUAGUUUUAUUUCUAGUGUAGUAAAAAAGAGAUGCAACAAUAAUGGUCAUUCCUAUAGUGUCUUUGAUUUUUAAAGGGGCUCUGUUUAACAUUUUAACUUUGUCAAAAAGGAAACAGAGGCAAAAUAAGAUUUUGAGUGUUUCUUUCCGCAAGUAGUCAUUCAUGAACUGGGAAGCUCUAAACUGGUUUGGAAUUCGCUGAAGAGCUGUGAGGAAACAGCUCCUGUCUAGGAGAAGUAGAAAAGUAUAGACAUCCGUCCAUCCAAUCUAUCCCAGGGAUUUACAGGAGAGAGCUAUAGGAGGCCUGACCAGUGAUUCCAUCUGGAGCUCCAUUGUACGGUGACUUGGGAAACUUGUCAUAGCAUGCCAGCUGCCUCAAAGCAUACCUCUUAUUCUCAGAGAAAGUCAAGGACAUAACACUGUCCCACUCAGGAACAGUAUUUUCACCAAGAAUGCUAACAUAAGAACUAUCUGUUUAGAAUGUUCCAGUCCAAGAGAAACAUCUGCACAUGACACGACUGCUCCAUUCAUGAACUCACAGCAGCUGCAGUUUCCUACAUGAGACCUGUACAAGAUCAAGCCAGUUAACAUUCCAGCAUGGAUUGGGGAAGGGACAGCUGCAGUUUCCCUAACUAAGGAGCUAAUGCUUCUUGAGGAGGGAGAGUCAGUUUUCUUUAAUGGUGUGAUCCCUGGUAGGAUGACCAUGCUCCAGUGAUGGCUCAAAUCCGUGAGCAACAAAAUUGGAAACAGUGGUCUAUGAGAGAUUGGGGAGAGAUAGGGAGGGAGAGAGGAAAAGAGGCGAGGCGGGACAUACAUUUUUGGAGGAGGUGGGGAAGUAGGGGAUAGUUAUGACAAGAGUUGGGGGAGAAGUUGGGUGUGAAUAUAAUAAAAAAUAAAUUUUAUGCAUAUAGAAAGUUCUUAAGGAAUUAAUAAAAACAUCAUAUUAAAGAAAGCUCUAGUCCAGCCCCAAUUUUCUAAUACUUAAUUCAAUUGGUAUGUUUUACAGGUAGCUUUUCUUAAUCCAAGCACUAAGAAUUAAUGUUUUACAUAGUUAUUGAAUAAAUAAACACUUAAAACAACA